CAUAAGACUCUCGGCAACGGAUAUCUUGGCUCUCGCAUCGAUGAAGAACGUAGCAAAAUGCGAUACCUGGUGUGAAUUGCAGAAUCCCGUGAACCAUCGAGUUUUUGAACGCAAGUUGCGCCUUAGGCCUCUUGGUCGAGGGCACGUCUGCCUGGGCGUCACGC
RNAcentral lists this ribosomal RNA (164 nucleotides) under Sporobolus virginicus. RNAcentral's name for it is "5.8S ribosomal RNA". It matches the Rfam family "5.8S ribosomal RNA". From Rfam's summary of the family: 5.8S ribosomal RNA (5.8S rRNA) is a component of the large subunit of the eukaryotic ribosome. It is transcribed by RNA polymerase I as part of the 45S precursor that also contains 18S and 28S rRNA. Functionally, it is thought that 5.8S rRNA may be involved in ribosome translocation. The record is from RNAcentral. Lineage: Eukaryota; Viridiplantae; Streptophyta; Magnoliopsida; Poales; Poaceae.